CACAAAUAUGAAAGCAGACCCUCAUUGGGGCGUAACGUCACGCCGUGUCCGCAAUAGCGUCAUUGCUGUUGUGCUGACGCGGCGGGGGGGUAACGCCCUUUUGGGCCAGUCUGACUCCAUAUUCACCCAUGUCUUUUGCGUACUACUUGUUUCCUUGGCGGGCUCGCCCGCCAAUUGGACCCAAUUAAACCUUUUUUGUAAUUGCAAUCAGCGUCAGCAAAACAAUGUAAUAAAUUA
Molecule: unclassified non-coding RNA, 237 nt
Filed under: soil metagenome
Description: partial internal transcribed spacer 1
Source: RNAcentral